AUGAACGCUGGCGGCGUGCCUAAUACAUGCAAGUCGAGCGAACGGACGAGAAGCUUGCUUCUCUGAUGUUAGCGGCGGACGGGUGAGUAACACGUGGAUAACCUACCUAUAAGACUGGGAUAACUUCGGGAAACCGUAGCUAAUACCGGAUAAUAUUUUGAACCGCAUGGUUCAAAAGUGAAAGACGGUCUUGCUGUCACUUAUAGAUGGAUCCGCGCUGCAUUAGCUAGUUGGUAGGGUAACGGCUUACCAAGGCAACGAUGCAUAGCCGACCUGAGAGGGUGAUCGGCCACACUGGAACUGAGACACGGUCCAGACUCCUACGGGAGGCAGCAGUAGGGAAUCUUCCGCAAUGGGCGAAAGCCUGACGGAGCAACGCCGCGUGAGUGAUGAAGGUCUUCGGAUCGUAAAACUCUGUUAUUAGGGAAGAACAUAUGUGUAAGUAACUGUGCACAUCUUGACGGUACCUAAUCAGAAAGCCACGGCUAACUACGUG
Molecule: ribosomal RNA, 496 nt
Filed under: uncultured bacterium
Lineage: Bacteria
Description: partial 16S ribosomal RNA
Rfam family: Bacterial small subunit ribosomal RNA
Source: RNAcentral